RNAcentral lists this ribosomal RNA (557 nucleotides) under Candidozyma auris. Its description in RNAcentral is "[Candida] auris partial large subunit ribosomal RNA". It matches the Rfam family "Eukaryotic large subunit ribosomal RNA", at positions 38 to 664 of the family's 3401-position model. The record is from RNAcentral. Lineage: Eukaryota; Fungi; Ascomycota; Pichiomycetes; Serinales; Metschnikowiaceae.
GCAUAUCAAUAAGCGGAGGAAAAGAAACCAACAGGGAUUGCCUCAGUAACGGCGAGUGAAGCGGCAAGAGCUCAACUUUGGAAUCGCUCCGGCGAGUUGUAGUCUGGAGGUGGCCACCACGAGGUGUUCUAGCAGCAGGCAAGUCCUUUGGAACAAGGCGCCAGCGAGGGUGACAGCCCCGUACCUGCUUUUGCUAGUGCUUCCUGUGGCCCACCGACGAGUCGAGUUGUUUGGGAAUGCAGCUCUAAGUGGGUGGUAAAUUCCAUCUAAGGCUAAAUAUUGGCGAGAGACCGAUAGCGAACAAGUACAGUGAUGGAAAGAUGAAAAGCACUUUGAAAAGAGAGUGAAACAGUACGUGAAAUUGUUGAAAGGGAAGGGCUUGCACCCAGACACGGUUUCGGCCGGGCCAGCAUCAAGUAGAACGGGGUUAAAAGACUUGGGGAAUGUAGCUACUUCGGUAGUGUUAUAGCCCUUGGUGAUGACCCCUGUUUUGCUUGAGGACAGCGGUCUCUAGGAUGCUGGCGCAAUGGUUGCAAGCCACCCGUCUUGAAACACGG